CUGGAAGACUAACUUUCUAUAUUUAAAGUAGAGUAAUUUAUUAAUGUUCGACAUCAGUCUCAGCCUGGGUGGAGUCAUUUGCCCUAUUGGCCCUAACUCGAGGAGUUCUUGGCUAAAUAAUUUUCCUGCAUAGCCAACUCUAAGGAAUUCCUUCAUAGUCGUAGACUUUCGGUCAGUCGAUGUUGAGGAUCUAGGUGCAAAACAAGGAACAAGGUGCAGAAAGUUGGACAGAACUGGCACAUAAAUCAAAGCUAGGAGCGCGGCAGCUGGCAGUUUGUGAAUAGUUCUGUCGGGCCACCGCGUAUGACAUUCGAUUACAUCUGUUCCAGGGGAAAAAUAUAUCUGAAAUUUGUGAGCCUCUGAGGCUCGGAAAUUAAAACAACGUGUUUCAAUACCGAUUUCAAUUUUAGAUACUAAUUGAUGGCUUUAUUUUAAAGAAAAUUGAAUUUUGCUGUUCUAUGAUAAUAUAUGAUUUUCUUUUUUGAGUUCCAAUAGUUAUUGUCGUAAUUAAAGUAUGUAUAUUGCGGAAAUUAGGGUUCACUUUAUAAUUUUUAGAAAAUCGAUAAUUAUUACAUUCCAAGAGCGAUCCGUAAGUGUAAGUGACAAAAUUAAAAAAUAUUUAUUUAAGGUCAGCUCUAGAGAAGGGUCAGGGGUACCACCUGAGGGUAGGGUCGGCAAAGCGCUUGGUGUUGCAAAGAAAUAUAGACUACGGUAACAAUUUACUAUCAGGUGGAUCGUACGCUUGUUUGCAUAGAGGUAUAAAACAAA
RNAcentral lists this unclassified non-coding RNA (768 nucleotides) under Melitaea cinxia (Glanville fritillary). RNAcentral describes it as "misc RNA ENSMCXG00005000623.1". The record is from RNAcentral. Lineage: Eukaryota; Metazoa; Arthropoda; Insecta; Lepidoptera; Nymphalidae.